RNAcentral lists this ribosomal RNA (401 nucleotides) under uncultured bacterium. Its description in RNAcentral is "bacterial SSU rRNA". It matches the Rfam family "Bacterial small subunit ribosomal RNA", at positions 975 to 1375 of the family's 1533-position model. The record is from RNAcentral.
CAAGGCUUGACAUGAACCGGAAACACCUGGAAACAGGUGCCCCGCUUGCGGUCGGUUUACAGGUGGUGCAUGGUUGUCGUCAGCUCGUGUCGUGAGAUGUUGGGUUAAGUCCCGCAACGAGCGCAACCCUCGUUCUAUGUUGCCAGCGCGUUAUGGCGGGGACUCAUAGGAGACUGCCGGGGUCAACUCGGAGGAAGGUGGGGACGACGUCAAAUCAUCAUGCCCCUUAUGUCUUGGGCUUCACGCAUGCUACAAUGGCCGGUACAAAGGGUUGCGAUACUGUGAGGUGGAGCUAAUCCCAAAAAGCCGGUCUCAGUUCGGAUUGGGGUCUGCAACUCGACCCCAUGAAGUCGGAGUCGCUAGUAAUCGCAGAUCAGCAACGCUGCGGUGAAUACGUUCCC